Molecule: ribosomal RNA, 400 nt
Filed under: uncultured bacterium
Lineage: Bacteria
Description: bacterial SSU rRNA
Rfam family: Bacterial small subunit ribosomal RNA
Source: RNAcentral
GGGGGAUAUUGCACAAUGGAGGAAACUCUGAUGCAGCGACGCCGCGUGUAGGAAGACGGUCCUAUGGAUUGUAAACUACUGUCUUCGGGGACGAAAAUGACGGUACCCGAGGAGGAAGCCACGGCUAACUACGUGCCAGCAGCCGCGGUAAUACGUAGGUGGCAAGCGUUGUCCGGAAUUACUGGGUGUAAAGGGAGCGUAGGCGAGCAGGCAAGUCAGGCGUUAAAUCCAUCGGCUCAACCGGUGGCUGCGCUUGAAACUGCAGGUCUUGAGUGAAGUAGAGGUUGGCGGAAUUCCUAGUGUAGCGGUGAAAUGCGUAGAUAUUAGGAGGAACACCAGUGGCGAAGGCGGCCAACUGGGCUUUUACUGACGCUGAGGCUCGAAAGUAUGGGGAGCAAAC